RNAcentral lists this ribosomal RNA (478 nucleotides) under uncultured bacterium. RNAcentral's name for it is "bacterial SSU rRNA". It matches the Rfam family "Bacterial small subunit ribosomal RNA", at positions 30 to 507 of the family's 1533-position model. The record is from RNAcentral.
AUUGAACGCUGGCGGCAUGCCUUACACAUGCAAGUCGAACGGCAGCACGGGAGCAAUCCUGGUGGCGAGUGGCGAACGGGUUAGUAAUAUAUCGGAACGUGCCCAGUCGUGGGGGAUAACGUAGCGAAAGCUACGCUAAUACCGCAUACGAUCUAUGGAUGAAAGCGGGGAUCGCAAGACCUCGCGCGAUUGGAGCGGCCGAUAUCAGAUUAGGUAGUUGGUGAGGUAAAGGCUCACCAAGCCGACGAUCUGUAGCUGGUCUGAGAGGACGACCAGCCACACUGGUACUGAGACACGGACCAGACUCCUACGGGAGGCAGCAGUGAGGAAUAUUGGUCAAUGGGCGCAAGCCUGAACCAGCCAUGCCGCGUGCAGGAAGACGGUCCUAUGGAUUGUAAACUGCUUUUAUACAGGAAGAAACCCUCCCACGUGUGGGAGCUUGACGGUACUGUAGGAAUAAGGAUCGGCUAACUCCGUG